RNAcentral lists this ribosomal RNA (303 nucleotides) under uncultured bacterium. RNAcentral's name for it is "partial 16S ribosomal RNA". It matches the Rfam family "Bacterial small subunit ribosomal RNA", at positions 507 to 807 of the family's 1533-position model. The record is from RNAcentral.
AGCAGCCGCCGCGGUAAGACGAACCGAGCGAACGUUAUUCGGAAUCACUGGGCUUAAAGGGUGCGUAGGCGGACUGUCAAGUCUGGGGUGAAAGCCCAGGGCUCAACCUUGGAACUGCAUUUUUAACUACCGGACUAGAGUAUGUCAGAGGGAGGUGGAAUUCCACGUGUAGCAGUGAAAUACGUAGAUAUGUGGAGGAACACCGAUGGCGAAGGCAGCCUCCUGGGAUAAUACUGACGCUCAUGCACGAAAGCGUGGGGAGCAAACAGGAUUAGAUACCCCCGUAGUCCCUGUCUCUUAUAC